CACGUAGGGCGCAAGCGUUGUCCGGAAUUAUUGGGCGUAAAGAGCUCGUAGGCGGUCUGUUGCGUCCGCUGUGAAAACUCGGGGCUUAACCCCGAGCCUGCAGUGGAUACGGGCAGACUAAAGGUAGGUAGGGGAGAAUGGAAUUCCCGGUGUAGCGGUGAAAUGCGCAGAUAUCGGGAGGAACACCAGUGGCGAAGGCGGCUUCCUGGACCUGUUCUGACACUGAGGAGCGAAAGCGUGGGGAGCGAUCCGG
Molecule: ribosomal RNA, 253 nt
Filed under: uncultured bacterium
Lineage: Bacteria
Description: partial 16S ribosomal RNA
Rfam family: Bacterial small subunit ribosomal RNA
Source: RNAcentral